This 1534-nucleotide long non-coding RNA is filed under the name Rattus norvegicus (Norway rat). RNAcentral's name for it is "long non-coding RNA NONRATT015160". The record is from RNAcentral. Lineage: Eukaryota; Metazoa; Chordata; Mammalia; Rodentia; Muridae.
GACGCGCCUUCUCCCAGAGGGGACCACUAGCACACUGCCCACUUCUGAGAGAUGGAUUAGCAAGUAAAAGGGGCCAGGAGUGUGGCUUAGGGGUAGAGCUCUUGCCUGACUUUCGAGGAGGCCUGGGUUCAGUCUCCAGCACUGCAAACAGUAACAAUAAGCAGGCAGACAAAACUGUAGAAAGUUACCAUUGCAUUGGCUAAAGAUGACCCAGCUUAGACUGUUGUGGCUAAUUCUCAGUCCAGCCGUGGAUGAGGAAGAGUUUAGGUUAUAGUUUUCAAAGAACAAAAUAUAAAUUAUUUGUCUGACAAGGCAAAUAAUUGAUUUUUUUUGUUCAAAAUUACAUGGAGGUGAUCACUUAUAUUUGAAAAAUCUGUACAGAAUAUACCCAAUUCUCUCCAGCCUUGUGCUGAUGGGCCUUUCCACUGGUAAUGGUUCUUUCCUCCUUUGGUCAGUACUCACCCCAUUACUCCAGCAUCUCCCCACCACGUGACAAUGAGGAAAUGAACCCCACUUCUCUGCUGUUCUGGUUCUCUUUGUGUCUGCUGAGGAGGUCUCUAGGCUGUUUAUAACAUGGGAAAACACAUUUCUAACCCUGGUACUUAAGGUCAUACGAGAUACGUCUGCAACCUAAAUAGGAGAUAGAGGGGAGGGCGAUGUGUCUUUUUACAUGGUUUUUAGCCAAAUCCAGAUGUUCUGAUACUCCGUUUCUGAAUCCUUUUCUGACUGUAAAUACUGCCUGCAGAGGUUCAGGCUGACAACCUUUUCUGAGACUGUUUUCAGCCGAGCUCCUUGCCAGCUUUUGGCACAUUGUACAUAGAUACGUCAAGUGUUUCAAUGAUGUCGGUUUUUUUCUAAAUGCUGUUCUCUAACACAUUUUUUUUUUUUGAAAAAAAAAGUGUCUUUGUUGUUCUGGACUUUGUGUGUUAGUUUUACAAAACAUUUCCUAAGAUUUAACACCAGGAAAAAAUAUUUUAACAUAAACUGGUGCUAAUUGGAAAAGAAGAAAAUUUUCAGCUUCAAGAUUUACAAAAGAAAAUGUUCACACCAGUUAACUGCACUUUCCCAAGGGGAUGGCUGCUGUCCACUUACAAUGGGCAUCAAGAGGACCAGCAAAAGUUUACAGUAUUGAUGGCCCAUUGAUGUGUCCUACAGCAAGGAGUCCUUGUCCCCCCAGAGAGGAGGAUUUGCUGGGUAGUCCUCAAAGCAUGUAGUAGAAGGAAGGGUGUAGAGUCAACCCUUUAGAAAUAGUCUUCUGGUCUUUGGACUUUCAUGUUUUGUAAUGCUUAGCCGUAACAAUGAAUAUGGUGUUGCCAAUCUAGUCUGACUUCAUUGUCAUCCUGUACUGACUCUGUGUAUGGUUCUACCCUUGGCUUGCACUGGCACGAACCAAGCCAGAACACAAGUCUUUCAGAAAGACCAUUCUGAUUUCUAUGAUGUUCACACACAUGAAUUUAGAUGCACUUGUAACUGGUUAAUUACCAUGAAAUAAGUCUAACUUCCACUUAAUAAAAGGAUUUUUGUGUAUCUGCUU